This 468-nucleotide ribosomal RNA is filed under the name uncultured bacterium. RNAcentral's name for it is "partial 16S ribosomal RNA". It matches the Rfam family "Bacterial small subunit ribosomal RNA", at positions 28 to 507 of the family's 1533-position model. The record is from RNAcentral.
GACGAACGCUGGCGGCGUGCUUAACACAUGCAAGUCGAACGGAAAGGCCCUGCUUUUGUGGGGUGCUCGAGUGGCGAACGGGUGAGUAACACGUGAGUAACCUGCCCUUGACUUUGGGAUAACUUCAGGAAACUGGGGCUAAUACCGGAUAGGAGCUCCUGCUGCAUGGUGGGGGUUGGAAAGUUUCGGCGGUUGGGGAUGGACUCGCGGCUUAUCAGCUUGUUGGUGGGGGAGUGGCUUACCAAGGCUUUGACGGGUAGCCGGCCUGAGAGGGUGACCGGCCACAUUGGGACUGAGAGACGGCCCAGACGCCUACGGGAGGCAGCAGUGGGGAAUAUUGCACAAUGGGAGGAAGCCUGAUGCAGCAACGCCGCGUGCGGGAUGACGGCCUUCGGGUUGUAAACCGCUUUCGCCUGUGACGAAGCGUGAGUGACGGUAAUGGGUAAAGAAGCACCGGCUAACUACGUG